GCCAAACUCAAUAUGAUGGAUAAUGCCAGUCGCUGGGCUUUCGCCCACUCACCGCCCGUGCACCUCAGCGCAGCGUCCCUGCUCCUGCAGUUCGCGUGAGAAAGCGGAGCUCCGGCAUGGAGGGGUGGGCUUGGUCUUCGGGACAAUCCUAAAUCUGCCUGGUCAGUCAAUUGAAGGCAGCAGCCCCUGGAAAGACAAGUGUCUUAAACGCUGCAGAACAAAGAGCGAACCCACAGCAAAUUGAAAUUCCCUUGAAGAAUCUCCCUUUCUGAGUAAUGACUGUAAAGGCAGCUGAAGUCUUCAGUUCUUUGGCACGCAACAACCAAACACCUGUCACACACCUUCAAACCAGGUGCUGCAGCUUUCCUCUACGGGUCCCCGAACACCAGCUCUGAGGAUGUGGCCCCAAGGCCUCCUGCUCCUGAGAGGAGAUGAAUACACUCAAUCAAACCAGUGCUCUCUGUCCUGGCCCUGUAUUAACCCGCUGAAGAAUGGCAGCAAAUCAGUAGUUUGAUUAUGUAAAGUAAAACCACAGGAGGUGCAUGCAUGGUACAUAGGCACGUAGUAGUGUUAAAUCCUGCUUAAAUCCUGCAUGCAGGACAAGAUGGUACAGGAGAUACGGGCAGGAAAUAUCAGAGUGGCAUGCACAGACAUACCUCUCUGUUCUCAGUGUUCUCUACUUGUUUUCGCUUUCGUCAGAUUUUAUGAGGUUUGCCAGAUUGGAGUAAAAAGCUGAUUUGGCUGUUUUUUUUGUGGUAUUGAUGAAGGUAUUUGUUUGGGGAAUGGGGAUACAUUUACAUGAUGGGAAAUUAAUUAAUUAAUACAUGUGGGGAAACAGAAGACAUGUUUGGUUUAAAUUCCCCUGGUGCAACUGCAUGGUAUUUGCAACUAUAAUGAGUCUGGACUAUGAUCAAUUAACCAUAUUAAUGCAGUUAAACAGGUUAAUGUAAAAUAAUGAAUUAUGUUGCCUUACACAUAUGGCACUUCCAAGGCCGUUUCAUGAUGAUUAUUACGGUCGUGUCAAUCAUGUUAUAUACUUAGGCUAUUGUAACACACCAUAUGCCAGCAUUGUAGGCCUACUGCCUCUGCCCAGAGGCCUACUUUCAUGGCAACGGCUGUUGCUAACUUUUCCACGUAUGAGCGCUGGUUAGAGCCUGUUGCAGAUUUCACUCUCUUCCGCUGUGUUGGUGGCAGCGUUGGGAUCACAUCCAGCUCUCAUCUAGUUAUGUUAUGUGGGAAGCAUUCUGUUUUUCAACAUUGUGUUGGGUGUAAUUACAUUGAUAUAUCUUGUGAACAAUGAAUAAGCAGCAAUGGGUGUGACAGAGAAAUAGUCACUACAGGUGUGAUCAAGCCUUACAUCAAAAUUGCCUGAAGCGGAAUGGAAAAUGCUAUGUCCUGACCAGUUGUUCAGGAGAAAAUCCUCUGUGAUUGUCUAAUUUACCAGUGUGGACCCAAAACAAACACAUUCUACACAUUUACAAAGGAGCUGUUUAAAGUGUUGUUACAACCAUGGUGUUCUGUUGUUACUGAAGCAUAUACAUCUAAUAACCUGACAAUGAUCCACAUCAUAUGGGUAGACAAAUAAUGUAAGUGUGUUGUCCUUUUUUUAGGAUGCAAAUCAAUAAUAUGAAUCACUGUUGAUCCAUCCUGUUCUGAUCUAAUGAGAUGGAUGUAGGAUUUUCUAGGCUUAGAAUCGAGACCUUUUCCAGUCAUGAAGGAAAAAGCUAGGCACCUCUUGGUUCUCAUUGGUGAAGACAAAUACUACUUGAGUAAAAGUCUAAAAGUAUUUGGUUUUAAAUAUACCUAAGUAUCAAAAGUAAAUGCAAUUGCUAAAAUAUACUUGAGUAAAAGUAUAAAUUAUUUCAAAUUCCUUAUAUUAAUGUAACGUCUGCUUCCAAUUCACACUCAAACACGUAGAUCCCCUGAACGCAGCUCACUCUCCAGAUCCCAAUCACUUGAAUUCUGAUCACCUGUUCACACACCUGUAUGUCAUUAUCACACACUAUUUAGUUCAGUUCUUUGCACCCCAUCAUUGUGAGGUAUUGUUUGUUUUGUGACACACUUCUAUUCAGAGAUCUGUUUUUCCCAUAAUUUAAUCCUCCCGUGUAUGAAAGUGAGGCAGGCAAAAACUAACAAUGCCUUUUGCCUAUUCCCUGCUUGUACUUCAGCCUAUCGGAUUUCCUGUUAUCUAUUUCCUGAUCACCCGGACGACGUUACUAGCCUUUUCGCUGCCUGUACUGUUGCCUUUUUGGACCUCCUGUGUAUGACCUUCUGCCUGCCCCUGGACCCAGCUACCUGUCUCCUCCUGUGGUCCUUUACAAAUUAACACCUACUGCACCCUGUGCUUGAAACCAGCUCUGUCUCCCAUCGUGUUCAUUACAAUUAAGCUAACCAGACGGCGCAAUUUUUUAUCUCCUGUCUUGCUAAGCAUUCAAAAUGUAAGGAGUAAUAUUGGGUGUCAGAGAAAAUAUAUGGAGUAAAAAGUACAUCAUUUUCUUUAGGAAUGUAGUAAAGUCAAAGUCAAAAAUAUAAAUAGGAAAGUACAGAUACCCCAAAAAACAACUUAAGUAGCACUUUAAUGCGUUAUAUGUCAGACUCUCUCAUACCACUUUGCCCAACAUGUUAUACACCAGAGGAUGUAAAUAUACCCUUUUUAAAGUGAUAACUUGUACCAUUAUUAAAGGGCUGUGAAACCCAUAGCCGAAUGGCUUCAGACUGACCAUUUCUCACUGGAAAUUGCUGCUGACAUUGAACAUAA
This is a long non-coding RNA of Oncorhynchus nerka (sockeye salmon), 2758 nucleotides long. RefSeq lists it as uncharacterized. The record is from RefSeq and is a predicted model, not a curated record. The transcript is spliced from 5 exons. NCBI's taxonomy places the organism in Eukaryota, Metazoa, Chordata, Actinopteri, Salmoniformes, Salmonidae.